This 245-nucleotide ribosomal RNA is filed under the name uncultured bacterium. RNAcentral describes it as "partial small subunit ribosomal RNA". It matches the Rfam family "Bacterial small subunit ribosomal RNA", at positions 26 to 285 of the family's 1533-position model. The record is from RNAcentral.
AGAAUCAACGCUGGCGGCGUGCCUAACACAUGCAAGUCGCACGAGAAAGGGGAGCAAUCCCUGAGUACAGUGGCGCACGGGUGAGUAACACGUGAAUGAUCUACCUCCGAGUGGGGAAUAACUGAGAGAAAUCUUAGCUAAUACCGCAUAAUACCCACGGGUCAAAGCAGUAAUGCGCUUGGAGAGGAGUUCGCGGCAGAUUAGUUAGUUGGCGGGGUAAUGGCCCACCAAGACGAUGAUCUGUA